This is a long non-coding RNA of Homo sapiens (human), 1200 nucleotides long. RefSeq lists it as uncharacterized. The transcript has 2 exons. Lineage: Eukaryota; Metazoa; Chordata; Mammalia; Primates; Hominidae. The record is from RefSeq and is a predicted model, not a curated record.
ACAUCCUACACAGCCUAAGGAUUGGCUGAAGAUGUACCCGUGAGAGCCUUCUCCUCUAAGUGUGGUCAUGUGCCCCAAAAGGAACUGAGGGACUUUCAAAAAGAUGCUCUCUCUACAUUGCAUCUCUGUCACCAGACUCCUGUCUCUCUCUCUAGACCAGCUGCUUGGAAGGAGCAAGCUGCCCACAGUAUGUUCAGUCACAGGGAGAGACACUUCUCUGCAUUGGAGCCAACGUUUAUGGAGAAAGAAGAGCUCAGCCUGGGUCAUGUUCCCACUGGAUCACUGCACUAGCAUGGUCUUGCUCCACCAGACUGGAAUGCAUUAUCAUAGUUCACUGCAGCCUCGACUCCUGUGCUCAAGUGAUCUUCCCACCUUAGCCUCCCAAGCAUCUAGGACUACAGGCAUGCAUGCCACCACACCUAGCUAAUUAAAAAAAAAUUUUUUUUUUGUAGAGAUGGAGGUCUCACUAUGUUACCUAGGCUGGUCUUGAACUCCUGGCUUCAAGCACUCCUCCCGCCUUGGCCUCCCAAAGUGUUGAGAACAUAGGUGUGAGCCAUUACACCUGGCCUGCUUAAAAUUCUUAUCAAAUAAUUCAAACAUCUGUGUCAUCUUGAUAUUGGUAUGUGUUUGUUAGAGUAGGUGGUUAGGCAGACAUGAGCAGGGCAAGAGAUGCACCCCCCUCCUCCAAAACCCGAAGAAAUGUCAGAUGACCAUCAGGUGGUGGUCAGGUGGCUGUCAGCACCAGGGAAAGGCAGUUUCCCAAUAGACAGAAAAUACCUGGAGCUGGUGAUAAGCAACUUCUGGAUACAAUCUCAGGAGUUGGGUGACGGGGCUCAUGCAUGUGCACUAAGAGGCAAAAUGGCAUACUUUAACUGGUAUAUGACCUUCCUCUGGCAAGGCUUGACUGGUAAGGGAAAAAAACCUCAAGUGAACAUGUGCACAAAUUCAGUAAACACACUGCACAUGAGGCACCUCCGAAGUGCUGGCAGGCCACUGUACAUGUGGACAGCCCACUCCAUGGGAAGAAUCAAGGGAGAAGAAAUGCAAAUCCUGGAACCAUGCCAAUGUAUAAAAGCUCAAGUCAAGGGUCUGGUGUGCACUUGAUUUCUCAAGUAUCCUGCUUGGCCCUCUUCCAAGUAUACUUUGCUUCCUUUCAUUCUUGCUCUAAAACUUUAAUAAACUCUCACUCCUGCCAUAAAA